UGCAGGUGGUUUGUUAAGUCAGAUGUGAAAGCCCGGGGCUCAACCUCGGAAUUGCAUUUGAAACUGGCAAACUAGAGUACUGUAGAGGGGGUAGAAUUUCAGGUGUAGCGGUGAAAUGCGUAGAGAUCUGAAGGAAUACCGGUGGCGAAGGCGGCCCCCCUGGACAGAUACUGACACUCAGAUGCGAAAGCGUGGGGAGCAAACAGGAUUAGAUACCCCUGGUAG
RNAcentral lists this ribosomal RNA (225 nucleotides) under uncultured bacterium. RNAcentral describes it as "partial 16S ribosomal RNA". It matches the Rfam family "Bacterial small subunit ribosomal RNA", at positions 570 to 793 of the family's 1533-position model. The record is from RNAcentral.